UACGGGGGGGGCAAGCGUUGUUCGGAAUUACUGGGCGUAAAGGGCUCGUAGGCGGCCAACUCAGUCAGACGUGAAAUCCCUCAGCUUAACUGGGGAACUGCGUCUGAUACUGGUUGGCUUGAGUGCAGGAGAGGAAUGCGGAAUUCCAGGUGUAGCGGUGAAAUGCGUAGAUAUCUGGAGGAACACCGGUGGCGAAGGCGGCAUUCUGGACUGCAACUGACACUGAAAGACGAAAGCCAGGGGAGCAAACGGG
RNAcentral lists this ribosomal RNA (253 nucleotides) under uncultured bacterium. RNAcentral's name for it is "partial 16S ribosomal RNA". It matches the Rfam family "Bacterial small subunit ribosomal RNA", at positions 524 to 776 of the family's 1533-position model. The record is from RNAcentral.